RNAcentral lists this transfer RNA (73 nucleotides) under Candidatus Altarchaeum hamiconexum. RNAcentral describes it as "tRNA-Pro". It matches the Rfam family "tRNA". From Rfam's summary of the family: Transfer RNA (tRNA) molecules are approximately 80 nucleotides in length. Their secondary structure includes four short double-helical elements and three loops (D, anti-codon, and T loops). Further hydrogen bonds mediate the characteristic L-shaped molecular structure. tRNAs have two regions of fundamental functional importance: the anti-codon, which is responsible for specific mRNA codon recognition, and the 3' end, to which the tRNAs corresponding amino acid is attached (by aminoacyl-tRNA synthetases). tRNAs cope with the degeneracy of the genetic code in two manners: having more than one tRNA (with a specific anti-codon) for a particular amino acid; and 'wobble' base-pairing, i.e. permitting non-standard base-pairing at the 3rd anti-codon position. RNAcentral also lists the same sequence under 6 other names. Lineage: Archaea; Nanobdellati; Candidatus Altarchaeota; Candidatus Altarchaeia; Candidatus Altarchaeales; Candidatus Altarchaeaceae. The record is from RNAcentral.
GGGGCUGUAGGGUAGUCUGGUAUCCUACCAGCUUGGGGUGCUGGCGACCUGAGUUCAAAUCUCGGCAGCCCCA